Molecule: ribosomal RNA, 320 nt
Filed under: uncultured Leptophryidae
Lineage: Eukaryota; Endomyxa; Vampyrellida; Leptophryidae
Description: SSU rRNA
Rfam family: Eukaryotic small subunit ribosomal RNA
Source: RNAcentral
AAUUUUUAGUUCUUUAGAUUUGUCCCAUCUUUAUAGAUGUCUGUGACAAACUGAAGAACUUUCUUUGUGGAAGUAAUCUUCUGCCCUUUACUGGGUUGGUUGAUUAAUCUGCUUCAUUUACUGUGAGAAAAACAAGGUGCUCAAAGCAGGCUUUAUAGCUUGAAUGCGUUAGCAUGGAAUAAUAAGAUAGGACUUUGUUUCUAUUUUGUUGGCUCUGAGAAAUAAAGUAAUGAUUGAUAGGGAUAGUUGGGGGUGCUCGUAUUUAGCGGUCAGCGGUGAAAUGCAUGGACCCGUUAAAGACGAACUUAUGCGAAAGCAUU